GCCCAACAGCAGCUCGGAGUCUUCGGCCAAGCACUCCCGGCACACGUCGGAGCGCAGGAAGAGCCCCUCGCCCAGCCCGGGCCAGCGCAGCAGCUCCUGGAGCUCCAGUGGCUCUCUCUCCAAAUCCCGCUCCCGCUCCCGGGAGAAGAGAGCAGGACGCAGCCGCUCCCGAUCACCCUCGCCGAAAAAACCCGCCAGCAGAGAGAAGGACAACGAGCCCCGAACACGUCACGGUGAUCCCGAUCCCACCCGCGCCCGGCGCCGCUCCAGGAGCUACUCCCCAAUCAGGAAGAGGAGACGUGACUCCCCCAGCUUCAUGGAGCCCAGGAGGAUCACGAGUGCUCGCAAGCGUCCCAUCCCCUACUACCGGCCCAGCCCCUCGUCCUCCAGCUCGCUGAGCACCUACUCGUACAGCCGGAGCCGCAGCCGCAGCUACGACAGCUACAGCUCCAGCCGCAGCCGCAG
Molecule: long non-coding RNA, 465 nt
Filed under: Lepidothrix coronata (blue-crowned manakin)
Lineage: Eukaryota; Metazoa; Chordata; Aves; Passeriformes; Pipridae
Description: lncRNA (ENSLCOG00000006323.1)
Source: RNAcentral